RNAcentral lists this small RNA (439 nucleotides) under Histoplasma capsulatum var. duboisii H88. RNAcentral describes it as "Histoplasma capsulatum H88 hypothetical RNA". The record is from RNAcentral. Lineage: Eukaryota; Fungi; Ascomycota; Eurotiomycetes; Onygenales; Ajellomycetaceae.
GAACUCAGCUUUGAUUUUUUUUAAAAAAAUUGCUUCUGGAUCUCCGGCGAAUUCCUUCUCCUUACUGACCUCAUGUUUCGAGCAUUCAAGAAUUGCAUCAGAAUUUCUGCACUGAUGCUUUGCACAAAAAUCUGGCUCUCCCUCAAAGAAUGCCCCAUUCCAAGUGAUGACUACGGUAUCAGCGUGGCACAUGAAAGCCAACCGAGCCAUGUCGAUGCAGUGGCCUUUAUAAAUAUAUGAAAUACGGCUGAGGAAUCGAGCUCAUCCAUUCGAUGAUAGCUGUUGUGGACAUAUUGGCGGAUCAUAUCCUGAGUCAGGCGAUAAUACUCCUUCUGAUUCUCGCUUCGUCUAGGGAAAACUUACCACACAGUGUAACUGAUGAAACACCGUUAGGGAUGCGAAAUAACGUCCUUAUGACGUAGAUACUUCAACACUCGUC